UUUUUUAAUUGAAAACUGGAAUGAAAGGUUGAACGAGAUAUAAGCUGUUUUAUAAAAAAUUUAUUAAAACUUUACUUUUUAGUUAAAAGGCUAAAAUUAGUUUAAAAGACGAGAAGACCCUAUAGAGUUUAAUAAUUUAAUGAUUUUAAAAAAAUUAGAAAAAUUUCAUUUAAAUUUAUUGAUUUAUUUUGUUGGGGUGACAGUAAAAUUUAAUAUACUUUUAUUAUUAAAAACAUUAAUUUAUGAAUUAAUUGAUCCAAUAAUAUUGAUUAAAAAUUUAAAUUACCUUAGGGAUAACAGCGUAAUUUUUUUUUAGAGUUCUUAUCAAUAAAAAUUUUUGC
Molecule: ribosomal RNA, 341 nt
Filed under: Diadocidia valida
Lineage: Eukaryota; Metazoa; Arthropoda; Insecta; Diptera; Diadocidiidae
Description: partial 16S ribosomal RNA
Source: RNAcentral